CACAUUGUACAUUAUCUUCUAAUAUAAUUCUCAGUUAUAUUCAUUAUGGAUCUGGGACCGAUAUGCCCCGACGUUUUGACCCUCCAGGCGAGCCAUGUUUCAGACCAUAUUGGCUCAGGACAGCCCGUACCAGACAUCACCAUGAUCGAGCAUUCCCAGAGCCAUUCAGCUUGGGUCAUUGAGGAUGCGAGAGUUCUAGCGCUGAUCUCUCAGGCCGGUUUUCGGGAGUGUUCGACGGUUUGAUAUAUCAGGCUUGAUUGGCCGCUUAUCACUGCACUGAUUGAGAGGUGGAGGCCAGAGACCAACACCUUUCACAUGCAUAUAGGGGAGUGUACCAUCACUUUACAGGACGUGGCCGUCAUACUUGGGCUCCAGAUCGAUGGGCCGGCAGUUACGGGCACCGAUGAUCAUAGUUGGCCGGAGGUAUGUGCCCGGCUUCUUGGACAGGUUCCUGACUUGAGGAGUGGUGCGAUGAAGCUAUCAUGGCUUCGUCAGACAUUUUAAGGCGACAUACCAGAGGAUGCCAGUAUGGAGACGCUUCAGUUCCAUGCUCGUGCUUACAUAUUGCACAUGAUAGGGUGCGUGCUUUUUCCUGAUGCGAGCAAGACUCUUGUACAUGCACAAUGGCUGCCGUUGCAAGAGGAUUUUGACAUAUGCAGCGCACGGUCGUGGGGCAGUACAGUGUUGGCAUACUUGUAUCGAGAACUGGAUAGAGUAUCCCUGAUGCAGAAUAAAGAAUUCAAGAGAUGCUGCACAUUGAUACAGAUUUGGUCAUGAGAGCGCAUUCAUAUUGGACGCCCUACUUUACUUGUGCACCGUGACCUACAGGGGCAGUUUUCUUUGGCGUACAUGUAUAAUUGUACACACAAAUUUUAUUCGCACUGAAUUUGUACUUAUGUAUUCUCUAUUCUGCAUAUAGGUAUAACGUGCGGUACGCUAAGUACCGAUCAGCGACGCGCCAUCGUGAGUUUUACCGAAAUGAGCUUGAUGACCUCCAACACGAACAGUUCAAGUAGAGACCCUAUACACCGCCGGAGCUCGAUAUGCAUUCUCUUGCACCCAUCUGCCGAGAUAGUCCCGACUUGUGGAGAGCCAGAGUUCCAUUGAUUUGUUAGGAGAUCGUGGAGAUGCAUGUCCCUGACCGUGUGCUACGAUAGUUUACGCUCUCUCAGCAUGUGCCAAAUCCUGUCGAGCAGAUCAAUCGUUGGCGGUGACCUACUUUGCACCAUACCGACUGGGUCGUAGUCCGUGCGGCCUACAUAGACAGGUGGUCUCACAGGUGGGAUUUCAUCCAGGAUACGAGGCCCACAGCUGUUGACUAUACCGUGUAUAUGGGUUGGUAUUGGGGUAUCACACGUAGAUAGAUCACACGUGACCUACAGCCAUUAGCUGGACAUAUGCCACGGCCACCGACAGACAGUUACAUCCUUAGUGGGAUGAACAAGAGAGAUUACGUCCGUGCUUUUGAUAGCAUUGAGGCUGAUAUUGAUGCGACCGUGCCUGAGAUUCAGGAUCAGGUGGCGUUAGGACUCCUCAGCAGGAUCAAGAAGACCAUAGCACAUGUGUUUCGUAAGACACACGUCGACGAGUUCGUAGGCCGUGAGGACAGGUCUCGAUCAUUUGGGCAGGCGUACACUCGGCGCCGACGGCCACGUGACGAUGACGGCGGCACUUCGCAUGCUGAUGGAGCCGGCACUUCGCAUGCUGAUGGAGCCGGAACUUCACAUGCUGAUGAAGCCGGCACUUCACAUGCUGAUGGAGCCGGCACUUCGCAGCCUCACACACAGCCGGAUACUCAGAUAGUCGAGGCUCAUCAGCGCGGGGGGCGGGGAAGAGCGAGGGGGAGGGGGAAGAGA
Long non-coding RNA from Asparagus officinalis (garden asparagus), 1856 nucleotides. RefSeq lists it as uncharacterized. The transcript has 4 exons. NCBI's taxonomy places the organism in Eukaryota, Viridiplantae, Streptophyta, Magnoliopsida, Asparagales, Asparagaceae. The record is from RefSeq and is a predicted model, not a curated record.